CGUAACAAGGUUUCCGUAGGUGAACCUGCGGAAGGAUCAUUACCGAGAGUUGUAGGCUUCUGUCUACCAUCUCUUACCCAUGUCUUUUGCGUACUUAACGUUUCCUCGGCAGGUCCGCCUGCCGUAGGACAAUUAUAAACCAUUUGCAGUUGCAGUCAGCGUCUGAAAAACAUAAUAAUUACAACUUUUAACAACGGAUCUCUUGGUUCUGGCAUCGAUGAAGAACGCAGCGAAAUGCGAUAAGUAGUGUGAAUUGCAGAAUUCAGUGAAUCAUCGAAUCUUUGAACGCACAUUGCGCCCCUUGGUAUUCCAUGGGGCAUGCCUGUUCGAGCGUCAUUUGUACCUUCAAGCUCUGCUUGGUGUUGGGUGUUUGUCCCGCCUUUGUGCGCGGACUCGCCUUAAAGCAAUUGGCAGCCGGCGUAUAGAUUUCGGAGCGCAGCACAAUCCGCGCUUUGUACUCAUUACGACGACAUCCAUCAAGACAUUUUUUAACUCUUGACCUCGGAUCAGGUAGGGAUACCCGCUGAACUUAAGCAUAUCAAUAA
Molecule: unclassified non-coding RNA, 545 nt
Filed under: Neoascochyta cylindrispora
Lineage: Eukaryota; Fungi; Ascomycota; Dothideomycetes; Pleosporales; Didymellaceae
Description: sequence contains ITS1, 5.8S rRNA gene, ITS2
Rfam family: 5.8S ribosomal RNA (bases 183-336)
Source: RNAcentral